UUGCAGGUUUUUAUUGGGUGGUUUGUAUCAAAUCUUCUCAGCUUUCAUCACCGACCCUAAAAACUUGGGUUCGUCAUCAGCAAGGUAAUUAGGUGAGCGGGUUCUGGAUUUUGACCGACGAUCUACCCAUAAAAGAAAGUGAGAAAGAGAGAAAAGUCAGCUUCUUCGUCGCUAGACUGGUCUGAGGCAGACAAAGAAUAGGGGGCCACCUAAAAACUUGGACGAUCGAGUUCAAUGUGUAGAACCACUGAAUACAUGGCUCCUGAAAUUCUGCUGUCUAAAGGCCAGAAAAAC
This is a long non-coding RNA of Rosa chinensis, 294 nucleotides long. RefSeq lists it as uncharacterized. The record is from RefSeq and is a predicted model, not a curated record. The transcript has 3 exons. NCBI's taxonomy places the organism in Eukaryota, Viridiplantae, Streptophyta, Magnoliopsida, Rosales, Rosaceae.